UCUAGACAAACUUUAUAACUUUGCUGAUUGUUCUGGACUCCACCUGAUAUUUGCUCUAAAUGCACUGCGUCGUAAUCCAAAUAACUCCUGGAACAGUUCUAGUGCCCUGAGUCUGUUGAAGUACAGUGCCAGCAAAAAGUACAACAUAUCUUGGGAACUGGGUAAUGAGCCAAAUAACUAUCGAACCAUGCAUGGCCGGGCAGUAAAUGGCAGUCAGUUGGGAAAGGAUUACAUCCAGCUGAAGAGCCUGUUGCAGCCCAUCCGGAUUUACUCCAGAGCCAGCUUGUAUGGCCCUAAUAUUGGGCGGCCCAGGAAGAACGUCAUCGCCCUCCUAGAUGGAUUCAUGAAGGUGGCAGGAAGCACAGUGGAUGCAGUUACCUGGCAACA
Molecule: RNA transcript, 387 nt
Organism: Lynx canadensis (Canada lynx)
Lineage: Eukaryota; Metazoa; Chordata; Mammalia; Carnivora; Felidae
Exons: 3
Source: RefSeq, a predicted model, not a curated record